UACAGGGGGGGCAAGCGUUGUUCGGAAUUACUGGGCGUAAAGGGCUCGUAGGUGGCCAACUAAGUCAGACGUGAAAUCCCUCAGCUUAACUGGGGAACUGCGUCUGAUACUGGAUGGCUUGAGUUUGGGAGAGGGAUGCGGAAUUCCAGGUGUAGCGGUGAAAUGCGUAGAUAUCUGGAGGAACACCGGUGGCGAAGGCGGCAUCCUGGACCGACAUUGACGCUGAUGAGCGAAAGCUAGGGGAGCAAACGGG
Molecule: ribosomal RNA, 253 nt
Filed under: uncultured bacterium
Lineage: Bacteria
Description: partial 16S ribosomal RNA
Rfam family: Bacterial small subunit ribosomal RNA
Source: RNAcentral